This 248-nucleotide ribosomal RNA is filed under the name uncultured Actinomycetales bacterium. Its description in RNAcentral is "partial 16S ribosomal RNA". It matches the Rfam family "Bacterial small subunit ribosomal RNA", at positions 84 to 334 of the family's 1533-position model. Lineage: Bacteria; Bacillati; Actinomycetota; Actinomycetes; Actinomycetales. The record is from RNAcentral.
GGGGUGCUCGAGUGACGAACGGGUGAGUAACACGUGAGUAACCUGCCCUUGACUUUGGGAUAACUUCAGGAAACUGGGGCUAAUACCGGAUAGGAGCUCCUGCUGCAUGGUGGGGGUUGGAAAGUUUCGGCGGUUGGGGAUGGACUGCGGCUUAUCAGCUUGUUGGUGGGGUAGUGGCUUACCAAGGCUUUGACGGGUAGCCGGCCUGAGAGGGUGACCGGCCACAUUGGGACUGAGAUACGGCCCAG